Molecule: ribosomal RNA, 480 nt
Filed under: uncultured bacterium
Lineage: Bacteria
Description: bacterial SSU rRNA
Rfam family: Bacterial small subunit ribosomal RNA
Source: RNAcentral
GAUGAACGCUGGCGGCGUGCCUAACACAUGCAAGUCGAGCGUGAACCCUGCGAAUGAAACUUCGGUCGAUUUUGCAGGGGGAAAGCGGCGGACGGGUGAGUAACGCGUAGGUAACCUGCCCCAUACUGAGGGAUAGCCUCGGGAAACCGGGAUUAAUACCUCAUAACACCGUAUAUUCGCAUGGAUGUGCGGUCAAAGAUUUAUCGGUAUGGGAUGGGCCUGCGUCUGAUUAGCUGGUUGGUGGGGUAACGGCCUACCAAGGCGACGAUCAGUAGCCGACCUGAGAGGGUGAUCGGCCACAUUGGAACUGAGACACGGUCCAGACUCCUACGGGAGGCAGCAGUGGGGAAUAUUGGGCAAUGGGCGCAAGCCUGACCCAGCAACGCCGCGUGAGGGAAGAAGGUCUUCGGAUUGUAAACCUCUGUCCUUGGGGACGAAAAAAUGACGGUACCCAAGGAGGAAGCUCCGGCUAACUACGUG